UGUGAGCUCGAUGAGUAGGGCGGGACACGUGGUAUCCUGUCUGAAUAUGGGGGGACCAUCCUCCAAGGCUAAAUACUCCUGACUGACCGAUAGUGAACCAGUACCGUGAGGGAAAGGCGAAAAGAACCCCGGCGAGGGGAGUGAAAAAGAACCUGAAACCGUGUACGUACAAGCAGUGGGAGCACAGGUUUACCUGUGUGACUGCGUACCUUUUGUAUAAUGGGUCAGCGACUUAUAUUCUGUAGCAAGGUUAACCGUAUAGGGGAGCCGUAGGGAAACCGAGUCUUAACCGGGCGUUAAGUUGCAGGGUAUAGACCCGAAACCCGGUGAUCUAGCCAUGGGCAGGUUGAAGGUUGGGUAACACUAACUGGAGGACCGAACCGACUAAUGUUGAAAAAUUAGCGGAUGACCUGUGGCUGGGGGUGAAAGGCCAAUCAAACCGGGAGAUAGCUGGUUCUCCCCGAAAGCUAUUUAGGUAGCGCCUCGUGAAUUCAUCUCCGGGGGUAGAGCACUGUUUCGGCUAGGGGGCCAUCCCGGCUUACCAACCCGAUGCAAACUGCGAAUACCGGAGAAUGUUAUCACGGGAGACACACGGCGGGUGCUAACGUCCGUCGUGAAGAGGGAAACAACCCAGACCGCCAGCUAAGGUCCCAAAGUCAUGGUUAAGUGGGAAACGAUGUGGGAAGGCCCAGACAGCCAGGAUGUUGGCUUAGAAGCAGCCAUCAUUUAAAGAAAGCGUAAUAGCUCACUGGUCGAGUCGGCCUGCGCGGAAGAUGUAACGGGGCUAAACCAUGCACCGAAGCUGCGGCAGCGACGCUUAUGCGUUGUUGGGUAGGGGAGCGUUCUGUAAGCCUGUGAAGGUGUGUCGUGAGGCAUGCUGGAGGUAUCAGAAGUGCGAAUGCUGACAUAAGUAACGAUAAAGCGGGUGAAAAGCCCGCUCGCCGGAAGACCAAGGGUUCCUGUCCAACGUUAAUCGGGGCAGGGUGAGUCGACCCCUAAGGCGAGGCCGA
Molecule: ribosomal RNA, 1010 nt
Filed under: Salmonella enterica subsp. enterica serovar Paratyphi B var. L(+) tartrate +
Lineage: Bacteria; Pseudomonadati; Pseudomonadota; Gammaproteobacteria; Enterobacterales; Enterobacteriaceae
Description: partial 23S ribosomal RNA
Rfam family: Bacterial large subunit ribosomal RNA
Source: RNAcentral